This 428-nucleotide ribosomal RNA is filed under the name uncultured bacterium. Its description in RNAcentral is "bacterial SSU rRNA". It matches the Rfam family "Bacterial small subunit ribosomal RNA", at positions 917 to 1344 of the family's 1533-position model. The record is from RNAcentral.
GGGCCCGCACAAGCGGUGGAGCAUGUGGUUUAAUUCGAUGCAACGCGAAGAACCUUACCUGGUCUUGACAUACACAGAAUCUUGUAGAGAUACGAGAGUGCCUUCGGGAAUUGUGAUACAGGUGCUGCAUGGCUGUCGUCAGCUCGUGUCGUGAGAUGUUGGGUUAAGUCCGGCAACGAGCGCAACCCUUGUCCUUAGUUGCCAGCACAUCAUGGUGGGGACUCUAGGGAGACUGCCGGUGUUAAAUCGGAGGAAGGUGGGGACGAUGUCAAGUCAUCAUGGCCCUUACGAGUAGGGCUACACACGUGCUACAAUGGGCAGUACAGAGGGUUGCUAAGCUGCGAAGCCAAGCUAAUCCCAGAAAACUGUUCUCAGUCCGGAUUGGAGUCUGCAACUCGACUCCAUGAAGUCGGAAUCGCUAGUAAUCG